This 433-nucleotide ribosomal RNA is filed under the name uncultured bacterium. RNAcentral's name for it is "partial 16S ribosomal RNA". It matches the Rfam family "Bacterial small subunit ribosomal RNA", at positions 28 to 507 of the family's 1533-position model. The record is from RNAcentral.
GACGAACGCUGGCGGCGUGCCUAAUACAUGCAAGUCGAACGCGGCCGUCUGGUACAUGUGCGGACUGGUUGGGAAGCCAUCGGGAGCUUCCCGUGUGGUGCAUAUAACUCCGAGAGGGGGACGCCAAUUCGAAACAAUUGCUUAGAACCAAAGAUUAAUUGGCUUUGGAGGGGCCCGCGUGAGAUUAGCUAGUUGGUAAGGUAAAAGCCUACCAACGCGACGUUCCAUAGCUGGUCUGUGAGGAUGAUCAGCCACACUGGGACUGAGACACGGCCCAGACUCCUACGGGAGGCAGCAGUGGGGAAUAUGGGACAAUGGGCGAAAGCCUGAUCCAGCAAUGCCGCGUGAGUGAUGAAGGCCUUAGGGUUGUAAAGCUCUUUUACCCGGGAUGAUAAUGACAGUACCGGGAGAAUAAGCUCCGGCUAACUCCGUG